This 107-nucleotide small nuclear RNA is filed under the name Canis lupus familiaris (dog). Lineage: Eukaryota; Metazoa; Chordata; Mammalia; Carnivora; Canidae. The record is from RNAcentral. RNAcentral also lists the same sequence under 1 other name.
AUGCUCACUUGGGCAGCAUGUGUACUAAAAUUAGAAUGAUACAGAGAAGAUCAGCAUGGCCCCUGCACAAGGAUGACACAGAAAUUCAUGAAGUGAUCAAGCAUAAG